GAUGAACGCUGGCGGCGUGCCUAAUACAUGCAAGUCGAACGCUGGAAAUCUAGCUUGCUAGCUUGAAGGAGUGGCGAACGGGUGAGUAAUACAUAAGCAACCUACCCACGAAGACUGGGAUAAUCUCUGGAAACGGGGACUAGUACCGGAUAGGUAAUCGGAAGGCAUCUUCUGAUUAUUAAAGGUUAAAAACACUGGUGGAUGGGCUUAUGGCGCAUUAGUUAGUUGGUGAGGUAACGGCCCACCAAGACGAUGAUGCGUAGCCGGCCUGAGAGGGUGAACGGCCACAUUGGGACUGAGACACGGCCCAGACUCCUACGGGAGGCAGCAGUAGGGAAUUUUCGGCAAUGGGGGAAACCCUGACCGAGCAACGCCGCGUGAGUGAUGACGGCCUUCGGGUUGUAAAGCUCUGUUGUAAGGGAAGAACGGUAGAUAGAGAAUAUCUAAAUGACGGUACCUUACCAGAAAGCCACGGCUAACUACGUG
Molecule: ribosomal RNA, 486 nt
Filed under: uncultured bacterium
Lineage: Bacteria
Description: partial 16S ribosomal RNA
Rfam family: Bacterial small subunit ribosomal RNA
Source: RNAcentral